GAUGAACGCUGGCGGCGUGCCUAAUACAUGCAAGUCGAGCGAACAGACGAGGUGCUUGCUCCUCUGACGUUAGCGGCGGACGGGUGAGUAACACGUGGAUAACCUACCUAUAAGACUGGGAUAACUUCGGGAAACCGGAGCUAAUACCGGAUAAUAUAUUGAACCGCAUGGUUCAAUAGUGAAAGACGGUUUUGCUGUCACUUAUAGAUGGAUCCGCGCCGCAUUAGCUAGUUGGUAAGGUAACGGCUUACCAAGGCAACGAUGCGUAGCCGACCUGAGAGGGUGAUCGGCCACACUGGAACUGAGCCACGGUCCAGACUCCUACGGGAGGCAGCAGUAGGGAAUCUUCCGCAAUGGGCGAAAUCUUGACGGAGCAACGCGGCGUGAGUGAUGAAGGUUUUCGGAUCUUAAAACUCUGUUAUUAGGGAAGACCAAAUGUGUAAGUAACUAUGCACGUCUUGACGGUACCUAAUCAGAAAGCCACGGCUAACUACGUG
RNAcentral lists this ribosomal RNA (497 nucleotides) under uncultured bacterium. Its description in RNAcentral is "partial 16S ribosomal RNA". It matches the Rfam family "Bacterial small subunit ribosomal RNA", at positions 28 to 507 of the family's 1533-position model. The record is from RNAcentral.